Chroicocephalus ridibundus (black-headed gull) is the source of this 1053-nucleotide long non-coding RNA. RefSeq lists it as uncharacterized. NCBI's taxonomy places the organism in Eukaryota, Metazoa, Chordata, Aves, Charadriiformes, Laridae. The record is from RefSeq and is a predicted model, not a curated record. The transcript has 3 exons.
CGGCGCGAGCCGCUUCCGGGAAUCGGUGGGGCCACGCGAGACCGCGGGGGGGCGCCACACCCGGGGGGGCGGCUGGGGCCCGGGCGGGGGGGGGCCGGGGGAAGGCCGGGCCGGGCCGUGAGUCAGGGGCAGGAAUGCGCCGGGAAUUCCAGCUGGUCCCCCCCACCCCGGGAAAACCCGCCCGCGCCGGGAAAACCCCCUCGAGGCACCGGGAUGUGCACUGUGCCCCGGGGGGGCGUCACCGGCACCGCGGCCAUCCGCUGCCCCCCGGGCGAGCCAAAAAACCCCGCGAACAACCCAAAAACCGACCAAACAACAACAAAACGCCCCGAGCAGCCGUUGGGUUUGAGCGGUGCCAGCAGCACCGGUGUGCCCGCCCCCGCCGCUGGCUGCUGCGCCGCUAAUGAGCUGAUUAAUUACCCCCACAACCCUCUGCGCUACGGCGGGUCGUUAUCUGGCGCCUCUAAUUUGUCUCACAAAUCUCUGCUUAUUUCAGGAAGGUGAAAUUACAGGUGGAAUUGGAGCAAAGCCGCCGGUGGGUGCCCGGGGGUGGCGGUUGCGGGGUCCCUGUCCCCGGCCGGGGGAGGUGCUGAGAAAACUCUGGGCGUCUUCACUUGUUUCUCGGAGAAAUGGAGCUUUCCGGCCAGAAAGAACUGGGGAGGUCUUGCGAGUUCCCCAAAAUAAAGAUGCUGAACCCCCCCUUGGCAGAUGGAGGCUGGUGUUGAUGGUUCACCGCCUGGAGGGCGCAGCCUUCAGCCAGGUUCACAGCUCCGCGGGGGCUGCCGUACCCACAGGAUACAUCCCAGAGGUUGGAUUUUUUGCUGGUUAAUUGUGUUCUGGAAGAUCAACAAGGAGCACAACGUCUGCAAAACACCAGCUGGCUUUCAGGGAGUGUGGGUGCACAAGGCGGGUGAACCAGAAGAUACGGAGGCUCCAACCGACAUCUGAAAAUGCAGAUCAACAAGGCAAGAGUGGACACAGGAAAAGAAUCUGACAAGAUGUUACAAGACCCCAGACCAAAAAUCACCUUUGGACUAAAAGACAUGUGAACAG